GAUGAACGCUGGCGGCGUGCCUAAUACAUGCAAGUCGAGCGAACGGACGAGGAGCUUGCUUCUCUGAUGUUAGCGGCGGACGGGUGAGUAACACGUGGAUAACCUACCUAUAAGACUGGGAUAACUUCGGGAAACCGGAGCUAAUACCGGAUAAUAUUUUGAACCGCAUGGUUCAAAAGUGAAAGACGGUCUUGCUGUCACUUAUAGAUGGAUCCGCGCUGCAUUAGCUAGUUGGUAAGGUAACGGCUUACCAAGGCAACGAUGCAUAGCCGACCUGAGAGGGUGAUCGGCCACACUGGAACUGAGACACGGUCCAGACUCCUACGGGAGGCAGCAGUAGGGAAUCCUCCGCAAUGGGCGAAAGCCUGACGGAGCAACGCCGCGUGAGUGAUGAAGGUCUUCGGAUCGUAAAACUCUGUUAUUAGGGAAGAACAUAUGUGUAAGUAACUGUGCACAUCUUGACGGUACCUAAUCAGAAAGCCACGGCUAACUACGUG
RNAcentral lists this ribosomal RNA (497 nucleotides) under uncultured bacterium. Its description in RNAcentral is "partial 16S ribosomal RNA". It matches the Rfam family "Bacterial small subunit ribosomal RNA", at positions 28 to 507 of the family's 1533-position model. The record is from RNAcentral.